Molecule: long non-coding RNA, 5724 nt
Filed under: Canis lupus familiaris (dog)
Lineage: Eukaryota; Metazoa; Chordata; Mammalia; Carnivora; Canidae
Description: lncRNA (ENSCAFG00845006252.1)
Source: RNAcentral
AAACCGAGGGGACUGAGACAGGACCGGAAUCGCUGUCCCUGGUGCAUCACAGAAACGGCAGGAGAUCGCACAGCUGCACCGCCCUGGGUGGCAGCUGGGCCGGGAACGCGGGGCGUAGGAUCAAGCUCUCCCCGGCCCAUCGGCAUCUCGGCAUCUCGGGUCGGGCCGGGUCACUGUUGUCACAGAAGUGAACAGGAUGCUCCGAGGCGUGUCACAGCAGACGACCAACCGGCUCCACGCUGGCGUCUAAGUCCGUCCUCGCGGCAGGGCUGGGACGCAGGUUUUACCGGCCCCACUGUGCGAAGCCGCGGGUCAAGCAUCCUGCGCUCGGUACGCCGCAGAGCCGGAGCCGGGGUCCGCGCCCCUCCGCGCCCCUCCGCGCCCACCCAUCGGCCAGCCCUCGCCCGCGGAGGAUUUCGGAGCACGGAGGACGCGCUUUCCGCCAGCCCGAGCCUUUCGGUCCGCGGUAAGGAGAGCGGGGCCCCGACGGCCGGAGCGCUGGCGCGGGCCUCCCGGCGGACGCGGGGCCGGGCGGGGCCGGAGGGGGAGGGGGAGGGGGAGCGGGGCCCCGGGGUUCCCCCCCCGGGCCGCGGGGGCGGGGCGGCGGCGGCGGCCGGGGGCGCGGGCUUUCCGGGGGCGGUCCCUGGCGGCCGGGCAUUCCGGAGCCGCCGAGCGCCGCGGCCCCGAGCCGAGCCGCGCCGAGACCCCGGGAGCGGGGUGCCCCGAGCCCCCCGCGGGCCGCUGCGGUGGCGGCCGCGGGCUCUUGCCGAGCAGCUCUGCGGAUCCCGGGAGUGAAGCAGCAUGGAUGCCGUCAGCCAGGUCCCCAUGGAAGCCGCACUCCCCAAGCACAUCCUGGAUAUCUGGGUCAUUGUCCUCAUCAUCCUGGCCACCAUUGUCAUCAUGACCUCCUUGUUGCUGUGCCCAGCCACCGCGGUCAUUAUCUAUCGCAUGCGGACUCAUCCUGUCCUCAACGGGGCUGUCUGAAAUCAGUGUCCCAAGAGGGGCCGGGGAGAAACAUGGAUAGUAUCUCCUCCCCCAGCCUCUUCCUUCUCAGAAAAGCAGCAGGAGGGGCUUUGGAGUGUGGACUCUGGAGCUUGAUGUGUGAGAGGAGACUGGAGUUCUUGUUUGGAUUUUGCCACCGGCCAGCUGUGUGAGCUGGGUCAAGGGACCUAACUCUGUGGGUUCCAGGUUCCUUAUCUUCUAAAUGGGGAUCAUGGUCCUGCCCUUCCUACCUCAGAGGGUUGUAAGAACCAAUGCCUUGGGUGGAGGUUAAAGCUGUUUGUGGCUAUGAAUGGUAAAGCCACCACAGGGUUAUAAUUGCUGACAAUGGCCUUCAGGGUGGUGAUGAAGACACUGGGGGCAGAGCAGCCUUUGCCAGUGCCCCUCAGGUCGAACCAAGCAAAGACACCCUGUCUGCAUUCCAAGGGGCCAGUAGUGCUUUGGCUCAAAGUCAUUUUCUUUGUGGUGCCACUCCCUCAAGUUACCUAAUUUGGAGGGAACUGAGUGUGGCAGGAGGAGGGAGAUGGGUGGAACUUCCUAGGACCUUCCUGUGCCAGAAUGUCUACCCCUGUAACAGUCUAGAGGACGGCACUGCCAUGUCUUGGCAAGGCCGAAGGACCUGGGGUGAUGGGCUUCUUUCUGCAUUGGAGUCUCCUCACUUUGACACUCAAGCUAUGUGUCACAACACAGGGUGGCUGAGUUCCCCGGAUGGCUUUCAGGAUCUCCAGCCCCCACCAACUUGUGUGUCUCACACUCAAGAAGCUGUGUCCCCUCACCCCAGCACCUGCUCUAACCAGCUACGUGGUGUCAAGUGUACGCCCUUCAUCCCCUCCCACCAGCACUGCAGCCAGUCUAAGCUACAGAUUUUAAGAGAUGUUCCCAGGACUUUUGGAACUCACUCAAGACAGCGAUGGUUAUUUUAGAUGCUAUGAUCUAUAUUUAUAGAGAGAUUCCUGGACCACUCAAGCUCUUUGACCAAAAUCAGGAACAUCUUGGGAUUUAUUAAAUUAUGUAAGAAGAUAUAGCACAGAUAUCAGAAUAUUGUGUGGAAGUGAUGCUGUUACUUUGGUCUGAUUUCAUUGAUGUAUGCGACCAGUUUCCAAUAAAGUGCUAGAAUGACCAUGUCUGAGGUUUUUCUUUAGCGAGCACUUAUAAUAAGCUCAGGAACUUGGGUAAAAGGAUUCCACUGAAUUUAUGGGCCUUAGAGACAGUUUGAAUGUAAGAACUGAAAGGGAAAGAGAGGAAUCCAGUUGACUUCCAAGGUUCCAGCUUUGGCAAGUGGGUAUUUGUGGUUUACUUAGACAUAGGAUGCAAGGAGAAAAACAAAUUUGGUGGGUAAGUGAUGAAUUUGGUGGCAGACACAUCGUGUUUGAGGUGCUCGUGAUCUUCAGGCGGACACUUUCACGAUGCAACUGGAAACCUAGGUCUGUUCUUUGGGAUAGAUUUUAUGGCUGGAGUUACGCUUUGGGGGAUUAUCUGCAUAUGGUAGCUACGCCACGCAAGGGGACAGGACCACCCAGGCAGAGUACACGGACCGGGGGCAGAGCUAAAUGCAGAACUUGGCAGACACUACAUAGGAGCGGAAGGGGGGCGGGGGAAAGAUAAAGCAAGGAGAUUGAAAAGAUCAUGUGCUUAGAGGUGCUAUGAGGGGGAUGACAUCUUAUCGUGUGGGUUGAGGAAUGAGUCAGAGGUAAGGAGGUGGAGACAGAAUGGACAACUCUCCAGGAAUAGGGCUGUACAGAGGUAAGGGAGGAGGGUUUGGGAAGAAUGGUCAAGGGGAAUAACUUUAUGUGAUAAGAUUUGGAUUGGUUUGCUCAGCAUCUAUCCCAAUCUUUGCUUUGCUUUUCCCUUUUCCCUAUGCCUUCCUAGGUGACAGAGGCUAGCAAGUGAAAACCUACAUUAAACAUGAACACUACAUUUCCCUAACUAAACUGUAGCCAGAGAUUCAGACGUGAUUUAGGUUUGCUAACCAGAUGCACACAUGUGAGGCUUCUGUUUGGGACCUAGUUAGAUUAGGACAGACACUGCAGGGUGUGAAGCAUCCACGGUCUAGUGGUCGGUCCAUAGCUAUGGGCAUAAGACAGAGCCAAGAUUUCUGCGUUUUUAAAGCAGUGCCCUGUCCUUUGAGAAGUGUAGUACUGAAGUAUCUGGGAACUUUGUUUCACUGGGACAGCUGUCUAGAACUUAAACCUCCUGAUUACUUGCUGGAGGAAAACUUGAGAUAUUUGUAAUUGAUAAGCAUGACAUCAGUCUUGUGCAAUUCGAGCCUAUGAAAAGCAGUACCCUGAGAAUUGCUGGAUGUGGGGUGUAGGCUCUGUGUGUGCCACCUAGCCUUUCUGAAUCUGAUUCCAGGUCUGUAAAGCGGAAGGUAUCAGAAUUGAGAAAGAGAAUGAGAAAAUCAUUCUAGGAUUUUAGGGUGGAGUGUAAAGACUUUUAGGCAGUCCACCAGAUGGCGAUACAGCUCUUUUUUUUUUCUUUCUCAAGUGAAGUAGCUCACAGUUCCCAUCCAAUCCUAUCAUUCCUAGCACUCAACAUUUUGUUUUUCCAGUUCUGGUUUCAGCAACUCUGAAGGUAACUUAGGACCAUCCAAUCCAAGUUCCCCUAUAAUAAAGGAAUCCCCCUCUCUAAUGGUAGGGUUGCCAUGUGUUGCCUCCUCAGUAUUUCCCAGUGUUCUUGACAACCUGCAACAGAUUCACCCAGGAGCAUUUAUUUACAAAUGCAGCUCCCAGAGUCCUGGUUCACAUUUAUGAGAAUCCCGUGGAAAAGGUCUUGCAUAUCUGUUUUGUAAAAAAAAGCUACCUGGGUGAUCAGUGAACAAGUUAAACGUGGAGAACCACAUGGUUGGUGGAAAGGAAUUCACUUCUUGCUGAAACCACUCCUUGACAGCCCUUGUAUUAAAAUUCUUCCUUGAGAAGGGAGAAGAAAUGGGUAGGAAAUAUCAGAAAGGGAGACAGAACAUAAAGACUCCUAACUCUGGGAAACCAACUAGGGGUGGUGGAAGGGGAGGAGGGUGGGAGGUGGGGGUGAAUGGGUGAUGGGCACUGAGGGGGGCACUUGACGGGAUGAGCACUGGGUGUUAAUCUGUAUGUUGGCAAAUUGAACACCAAUAAAAAAUGAAUUUAUUAUUAAAAAAAUAAAAAAUAAUAAUAAAAUAAAAUUCUUCAUUGAGUAAGAGAGAAAUCAGGCCUUAAGAUGCCCCCUUGGGGGCCACCCUGAAGAGAUCAACUUCCUUUUCCUUGGGACUUCUGAGCAUUUUUUUAAAAAAGAUACAUUAUUUUAGAGACAGUGGGGCAGGGAAGGGCAGAGGGAGAGAGAGAGAAUCUCAAGCAGACUCCUGCUGUGCAUGCAGAGCCUGCCAUGGGGCUCAGUCUUACAACUCUGAGAUCAUGACCUGAGCCAAAAUCAAGAGUCAGUCGACCUAGCCACCCAGGCACCCCACUUCUGAGCGUGAAGAUCACUAUCAUGAGUUACCUCAUCCCACCAUCUUGCCCGAGUGGGAAAUUCACACUUUGCAUUACAUGGUGGCUGUCAUCCUCAUUCCUUCCUUUGGCAGCAGAGCAAGGGCCCGAACAAUCUUGGCUUCACUGUAUGUUGGCUUUCUGAUUGUGGGCAAGGUAACAAACUCUUUGAGUCUUAAUUUCCUCAUCUGUAAAAUAGACACAGGAGUAACUCUAGCUACCUCACAGAAUUGUUACGAGUAUUAUAUGUGGUCACAGCGGCAAGGUAGGUGGUAAAAUACAGCAAAUGCUCAAUACCUAUGAUCUAUUGCUAGUGAGUCCUAGUUUCUUCAUCUGUAAAAUGGUGAUGACAGUUACUUCUGAGUGUGGAGGGGAUUAAAUGAGAUAGAAAAGAAUUUGCCCAGUGCUUGGCACAUGGAAGUCUCUCAGUAAUGGUUAACUAUAAGAUGGCCAAUAAUACAAAAAUACCAAAGGCCUAAUGGGGUUGGAUUCUUAAAUCAUCAAAGUAUUGAGAUUGGCAGAAAACUUCCCCAUUGACAUCCAGUAAGAUUGGCACUAAAUUCACAGAGGGCCUUAAACAAGUGUGAAAAUCAUACUUCUUCUAUAUUAAUCUCCCUUCAGGAAUUAUUUCAUAAUUUAUUCACCAUUAUUUAAUAAAACACCAAGUUUUCCACUUCUAAGUUUUAAUCCUUCACAGAAGUUGCUUUCUAAAUGUCAAAAAAAAAUUUUAAGCCUUUUGGUAAGAUAAAACUAUCAUCAGGUCUUUAUAUGAUUCUUGCUAAAGAGAGAAUGGAAAGAAGAUUGUGAUGUGAAGUGGUGAUAAUAAUAAAAUGUUAAUUAAAAAUAGAUCUGCCUAUGACCCAGCAAUUGCACUGCUGGGGAUUUACUCCAAAGAUACAGAUGCAGUGAAACGCCGGGACACCUGCCCUCCCAUGUCUAUAGUAGCAAUGUCCACAAUAGCCAAACUGUGGAAGGAGCCUCGGUGUCCAUCGAAAGAUGAAUGGAUAAAGAAGAUGUGGUUUAUGUAUACAAUGGAAUAUUACUCAGCCAUUAGAAACGACAAAUACCCACCAUUUGCUUCGACGUGGAUGGAACUGGAGGGUGUUAUGCUGAGUGAAAUAAGUCAAUCGGAGAAGGACAAACAUUAUAUGGUCUCAUUCAUUUGGGGAAUAUAAAUAAUAGUGAAAGGAAAUAGAGGGGAAGGGAGAAGAAAUGGGUAGGAAAUAUCAGAAAGGGUGACCGGACAUGAGAGACUCCUAUCUCUGGG